This is a long non-coding RNA of Arabidopsis thaliana (thale cress), 204 nucleotides long. RefSeq annotates it as other RNA. The record is from RefSeq. NCBI's taxonomy places the organism in Eukaryota, Viridiplantae, Streptophyta, Magnoliopsida, Brassicales, Brassicaceae. The transcript has a single exon.
AAUUAUUGUUAGAUCUUCUUGGCAUGCAUGUGCAGUCUUUCCGCUAUUUCCUUUCUUGCUUGCCCGUAGUGCUAGAUCCCCCAUUAACGUAAGUAUUUUAGCUGUUAGCCUACAAAAUUGAAAGAUUAACUUGACAAAAAUGAUUGAGUGUUGAAUACAGAAGGGACGACAAGUCAAUAUAAAGAUGGAAGAUGCAGUGAAACU